RNAcentral lists this ribosomal RNA (482 nucleotides) under uncultured bacterium. RNAcentral describes it as "bacterial SSU rRNA". It matches the Rfam family "Bacterial small subunit ribosomal RNA", at positions 30 to 506 of the family's 1533-position model. The record is from RNAcentral.
UUGAACGCUGGCGGAAUGCUUUACACAUGCAAGUCGAACGGCAGCACGGGGGCAACCUUGGUGGCGAGUGGCGAACGGGUGAGUAAUGUAUCGGAACGUACCCAGUCGUGGGGGAUAACUAUCCGAAAGGAUAGCUAAUACCGCAUACGUCCUGAGGGAGAAAGCGGGGGAUCGCAAGACCUCGCGCGAUUGGAGCGGCCGAUAUCGGAUUAGCUAGUUGGUGAGGUAAAGGCUCACCAAGGCGACGAUCCGUAGCGGGUCUGAGAGGACGACCCGCCACACUGGAACUGAGACACGGUCCAGACUCCUACGGGAGGCAGCAGUGGGGAAUUUUGGACAAUGGGGGAAACCCUGAUCCAGCAACGCCGCGUGAAUGAAGAAGGCCUUAGGGUUGUAAAGUUCUUUUGUCAGGGAAGAAAGUUUCUGUGCUAAUACCAUAGAACGAUGACGGUACCUGAAGAAUAAGCACCGGCUAACUACGU